This is a long non-coding RNA of Anopheles gambiae (African malaria mosquito), 946 nucleotides long. RefSeq lists it as uncharacterized. The transcript is spliced from 2 exons. The record is from RefSeq and is a predicted model, not a curated record. NCBI's taxonomy places the organism in Eukaryota, Metazoa, Arthropoda, Insecta, Diptera, Culicidae.
CUGGCCCUACACGCUGCAUUCAUGUAUGCGGCUACAAAUGACAGCUACACAUUUUCUUUUGUUCUAUUUGUCAAAUGUAGCUACACGAUGUAGCUAUCGUUUGGGACCUUUUCAAUCCGUGUAUGUUCAGCUGUCAUAUUGUGGUUGUCAAACAUAGUUGGUUGUGUUUAUAUUAUGCGGAGAUCACUCCGGUUGUGUUUUUGCCGUGAUACACAAAGUUUCUUUUUUUUACAGUGGAAAAAUGGAAAUAAAUCAACUUCUUCCAACUUUAGCGGCUGAAGUGGCUACUCUCAUGUUGAUACUCAUAGAAGAGGAAGACGAAGAACUGCAGCAAGAGGAAAAUGCACGGCGCUGCUGGAUGACCGAUCUAUUUCUGGAGAGGGAAAGCGUUUGGACCCGGCUGUUUAGGGCGAUAGAUGGCGAAGGACCAAACAACCGGCUAGAAAGUUUUCUACGUGUGAAUCGCGAAGAAUUUUACUAUCUUUUAAAUCGGAUUGGUCCAAAAAUUGAACGACAAGAUACAACGAUGCGACCUUCGAUCUGCCCGAAGCAACGAUUAUGCAUCGGGCUUCGCUUUUUAGCUUCGGGAGACUCAUAUGAAUCUCUUGCUUUUUUGUUUAGGGUUUCUAGCAGUUCCGUAUCCCGUAUUGUGCGUGAUGUUUGUACAUACAUAAUAAAUGAAUUGAAGGAAUACGUUAAGGUAUUAUUUCACUGAUUUAAUAUGGUAACAAUUCCAUACUAAUACUCUCUUCUUACUUAUAAGAUGACCACUUUAUCUAAGCUGUUUGUAUAUAUAGUAAUUUUAAGUUUGGUUUCGUUUUCUGGUGCUCGUGUUAUUAUAGUCUAUUUUUCUAAAACUAAUAUAUUGCCUAAAAACUGCUGUUAUACUAUUUAACAAAUGAACUUGUUGCAAUAAACAACUAUUCAGGUCAUGUCACUAACGUAA